RNAcentral lists this non-coding RNA (31 nucleotides) under Mus musculus (house mouse). The record is from RNAcentral. Lineage: Eukaryota; Metazoa; Chordata; Mammalia; Rodentia; Muridae.
UGUUCAAAGAUUUCUGAAUGGAGCUCAUGGG